RNAcentral lists this ribosomal RNA (497 nucleotides) under uncultured bacterium. Its description in RNAcentral is "bacterial SSU rRNA". It matches the Rfam family "Bacterial small subunit ribosomal RNA", at positions 29 to 507 of the family's 1533-position model. The record is from RNAcentral.
ACGAACGCUGGCGGCGUGCCUAACACAUGCAAGUCGCACGAAUGGUGGAGAGCUUGCUCUUCACCGUUAGUGGCGGACGGGUGCGUAACACGUGAGCAACCUGCCUUCCGGUGGGGGAUAGCCGGCCUAACGGCCGGGUAAUACCGCGUACGACUUCGGGCUCGCAUGGGUCUGGAGUGAAAGCGGGCGCAAGCUCGCGCCGGAAGAGGGGCUCGCGGCCUAUCAGCUUGUUGGUGGGGUAAUGGCCCACCAAGGCUAUGACGGGUAGCUGGCGUGAGAGCGCGAUCAGCCACAUUGGGACUGAGACACGGCCCAGACUCCUACGGGAGGCAGCAGUGGGGAAUCUUGCGCAAUGGGCGAAAGCCUGACGCAGCGACGCCGCGUGGGGGAGGAAGGCCCCAGGGUUGUAAACCCCUGUCAGGUGGGACGAACCACGUGUCGGUCAAUACCCGGCGCGUCUGACGGUACCACCAGAGGAAGCUCCGGCUAACUCCGUG